GUGGGGUAACGGCCUACCAAGGCGACGAUCGGUAGCCGAACUGAGAGGUUGAUCGGCCACAUUGGGACUGAGACACGGCCCAGACUCCUACGGGAGGCAGCAGUGGGGGAUAUUGCACAAUGGGGGAAACCCUGAUGCAGCAACGCCGCGUGUGGGAAGAAGGUUUUCGGAUUGUAAACCACUGUUCUUGGUGAAGAUAAUGACGGUAACCAAGGAGAAAGCUCCGGCUAACUAC
RNAcentral lists this ribosomal RNA (235 nucleotides) under uncultured bacterium. RNAcentral's name for it is "partial 16S ribosomal RNA". It matches the Rfam family "Bacterial small subunit ribosomal RNA", at positions 252 to 504 of the family's 1533-position model. The record is from RNAcentral.